RNAcentral lists this ribosomal RNA (443 nucleotides) under uncultured bacterium. RNAcentral's name for it is "partial 16S ribosomal RNA". It matches the Rfam family "Bacterial small subunit ribosomal RNA", at positions 338 to 795 of the family's 1533-position model. The record is from RNAcentral.
CCUACGGGAGGCAGCAGUGGGGAAUAUUGGGCAAUGGGCGCAAGCCUGACCCAGCAACGCCGCGUGAAGGAAGAAGGCUUUCGGGUUGUUAACUUCUUUUGUCAGGGACGAAGCAAGUGACGGUACCUGACGAAUAAGCCACGGCUAACUACGUGCCAGCAGCCGCGGUAAUACGUAGGUGGCAAGCGUUAUCCGGAUUUACUGGGUGUAAAGGGCGUGUAGGCGGGGAAGCAAGUCAGAUGUGAAAACCACGGGCUAAACCUGUGGCCUGCAUUUGAAACUGUUUUUCUUGAGUGCUGGAGAGGCAAUCGGAAUUCCGGGUGUAGCGGUGAAAUGCGUAGAUAUACGGAGGAACACCAGUGGCGAAGGCGGAUUGCUGGACAGUAACUGACGCUGAGGCGCGAAAGCGUGGGGAGCAAACAGGAUUAGAUACCCUAGUAGUC